Molecule: non-coding RNA, 28 nt
Filed under: Rattus norvegicus (Norway rat)
Lineage: Eukaryota; Metazoa; Chordata; Mammalia; Rodentia; Muridae
Source: RNAcentral
AAGCAUUUUCAUACCAUGAGGAGAAGCU